RNAcentral lists this transfer RNA (77 nucleotides) under Bacteroidota bacterium. RNAcentral describes it as "Bacteroidetes bacterium tRNA-Ala". It matches the Rfam family "tRNA". Rfam says of the family: Transfer RNA (tRNA) molecules are approximately 80 nucleotides in length. Their secondary structure includes four short double-helical elements and three loops (D, anti-codon, and T loops). Further hydrogen bonds mediate the characteristic L-shaped molecular structure. tRNAs have two regions of fundamental functional importance: the anti-codon, which is responsible for specific mRNA codon recognition, and the 3' end, to which the tRNAs corresponding amino acid is attached (by aminoacyl-tRNA synthetases). tRNAs cope with the degeneracy of the genetic code in two manners: having more than one tRNA (with a specific anti-codon) for a particular amino acid; and 'wobble' base-pairing, i.e. permitting non-standard base-pairing at the 3rd anti-codon position. The record is from RNAcentral. Lineage: Bacteria; Pseudomonadati; Bacteroidota.
GGGGGAUUAGCUCAGCUGGCUAGAGCGCCUGCUUUGCAAGCAGGAGGUCAUCGGUUCGACUCCGAUAUUCUCCACAA